This is an RNA transcript of Sitophilus oryzae (rice weevil), 4146 nucleotides long. It is a transcript of the gene named supervillin-like, with no coding region annotated. The record is from RefSeq and is a predicted model, not a curated record. The transcript has 4 exons. NCBI's taxonomy places the organism in Eukaryota, Metazoa, Arthropoda, Insecta, Coleoptera, Curculionidae.
AUUUCCUUGAUUUAGUAAUGAUAUUGCUCAUAGAAAUUGAUAAUAUACUAUUUUAUAUUCACUCGUUCAAGUGCUGAUCUAUUUUUAAAUUGAAUAUUUAUGUAAGUAUUAUGUAUAACACGAUAUAAAUAAUUUAAGGACAUAAGAAAUUAAAAUUUCAAGUGCCAAUAUUGAUUAUUUUUCCAGUUUUAUUCAAAUAUAUUGAAAUUAAUAUGGAAACAAAAGUUCAUAAAUAUUAGUUUGCAAAGCCAUGUCAGAAGAGUAGGAUUAAAGACAAAGUAUUAAGAGUAAUUGGGCUGUUCCUGAACAAUAUUGAAUAUAAAUAUUCAAAAAUAUGAUUGAUAACUGCAUAUCCUACUAAGUAGAUCAAUACCAAAAUCCCAUUAGAGAAAUAAGUUAAAAUUAUGUUUUACUUGUAUAAUUUUCUUGCUAUUUGUCCACCAUUAUUUGUGACUAGAAAUUAAAUAGUCAAAAAGAAUUUAGUACCAGUUUUUAUUUCCCAAAAAAAUUGUUAAAUAAUUACAUAUUGCUUAAGAUACAGUAUAUUAUAUUGUGUUUAUAGUUGAUAAUUCUAGUUCUUAGUUGUUUAUAGUUGAUAAUUAACAAUAUUUCUGAUGUUAGAUAUUAUAUUAGAUAAAAAAUUUAAUUACCAAUAGCUACCUACCUAUGUAGCUGCAGAUUAUAUAUUGUGUAGUAGGUACUGUAUAAUUCUUUAGUUCAAGAAACAAAUAUCAGUACAAGUAUAUAACCAAAAAAAUGUUGAUGCAAAUUCUUUGUAUAACAUACGUACCCCUAUGGUAUUCAACUUUUCAUUGUUCUUUUAAUUAGAUACACAAUAAGCACAUUAAUUGGUUUAUUAAACAACCAAAACUCUAACUACUUAAAUUCACAAUAUAAAUAUCACAAUAAAUGUAUAAGCUUUGAUCAAUUCCUAUUAUUAAUACCUGACGACUUCAUACUUUAUAACUACCAAUGGCUAUCCUACUAACACACUAGCCAACUAAUAAUAAAUCUGUUCUAAAAAAAUACAACAUAAAGACAUCGUUAUUGCAAUAAUAUAGAAAUAUAUUCCAUGUAUCAUUAACUACCUAGGUAUAAAUACAAUACCCACAUCUUCUUUUAUGCGAAUAGUGCGUUAGGAGGCAGAAAUAUUGCCUGCAUUGUACAUCGUACAAAUUGGCUAGAAUUUAUUAAUAUCCAUUGCAAACAUUUCUCUUUUAAAGGGUCUAAAUGUUUUGUCUUUUUACUGUGUCCCUGUAAUAUGUUAUCAAUUAACAACAGUUAUCAAAUAUGACCUGGACAAUAAUUGUUUUAACUUUUUUUCAAACUAAACUCUUUAAACAAACUAUAUAAAUAAAAUUUAUCUCAUAACCUAACUUGCUGUUAGAAUUUCUUUCUUGUUAUUCUAUGUUCCUGUAUUGUUAUUCUUCACAUUAUCAAUUUCUAUGAGCAAUAUCAUUACUAAAUCAAGGAAAUCUAUUCCUAAUGCCAAUUUAAAUUCUGUGAAGGCACAACACUUUCUUCAAUAUUUGUUUACUUCCAAAGGGCAAAGGGUAUAACUUGAAAUAUUUCAAGUAUAUAUUUUAAUUUUUGACAUUAAGCACUCACAUUUAGAACAUCUGAAAUAAGAAAUUUUGUUAUUCUACGCGUCUAAAAAGAUAUAACAUUUUUCUCACUAUAGAGCGAAAUUUCUUUGCGGCUUCAGAUACAAAACUUGCGGAUUUCCAUACAUCGAAAUACAAAAUAAGAUAUUAUUUAUUAGUAGACAAAUACCAAAAUAUAGAAGGCCAAACCAAACCUCUAGGAAAUAACUUUAAAAUACAUUAUUUUUUCAAAAAACGUUUGGAUCUAUAAAUUACAAUAAUAAUCUCAUCACAUCUGUCAGUGAAAUGUUCAAUUUAUAUAUUUUCAAUUUCAAUUUCAAAUACUCGACGCUCAUUGGUCGUGACGAAAUCGUCUUCCUCGACAAAAUACAUAUUUUCCUACAUAGCCCGCUAUAGGGAGUUGAAUAUCCUUCUUCUAUAUAUCCUUGCUGCACCCUCAGAAGUCGUAUCAAUGGAUGAUGGAUGCAUGAAAAUCCUGACCGUGAAUCCAUCCUUCUAGUUAUUAUUUUAUGAAUCCACCUUAGAGAAAGCUGAAAGCCAAUAGCCAAACCUCUGCCAUUGGCCAAUAUUUGAAAAAUUCCAAAAGCCAAUAAUUUUUAAAUUAUUGGCUUUUGGAAUUUUAUAAACCUCUACACAACGCUACACUUGUGUCUACACUCUUUUCUGUUUCAUAGGUAGGUAUGUAAAAUUGGAAUUAUUGGAAUAAUAGUAUAAAAAAGUUUAUUUAUGAGAAUAACCACGUAUAACGUAAUAACUUUAAUACCGCUUAUUUAGUUAAAAGUCUCUGAUAUUAUGCAACUGAUAGUAUUCAUUUUCGGGUAUUUAUCUCUGACAUCUUUUUUUUAUCAUAUUUGUUUAAAAGUCAUAAAUAGACAUUAAACUUACAUUAAAUAAAAGAUUUUAAUCAAGUGUUGAGCUCUGUAUUAAGUGAAAAUAAAAUCUAGCGAUACGAAAAUGAGUAUCUUAAAUGUUCAAGAUUUAAUACUGUCAAAGUAUGAAGAACCCCGUUUCUACGUCAAUUUUAAUACAGUUUUGAGGCCCACUGUAGCAGUAAGAAAUGAAUUUGAACACAAAAUCAACAAGACAAACCAUGUUUUGUGCUGGAGAAUUCAAGAAAACACCCUUGAAAAAAUUGAUAAGAAAAAUGUUGGAUUUUUGUUUGAUUCAGAGGCUUACAUUGUGCACUGGCUCUUUGAUCUUAAAAUAGAUCAGUCAAUAACUGAAGAAAUGUUGGUGUAUUACUGGAGGGGGCAACAUGCUGUAAAAGGCUAUAGUCCUCUUCCAUCAGAUAUAGAAGAGCAAUAUCCUGUUGAGAGGUUGUUCCAGUGGAGUGAACCAGCAUUGUUUUUCCAUGGCUUUGAGAAAUUAAUAGUUUUUAAUGAGGGGAAGUUACAAAAGAAACUCACUUAUUUGAAGUGCCAUGCAUUAAGGCAAGCUUAAGGAGCAGAGGAACUUUCUUAUUAGUUAUACCUCAAGAAAAAAUAUUUUUUUACUGGCAUGGGGCAAAAACACUUAAUGAUUAUAAAACAAACAUAAAAAUACACAAGCCUCAUGUUCAUUUGCAGUUAUGGCAACCACAAUGGGAGUUCUUUUCUAUACAUGAAAUUGAAGAAAAUAAUGAGCCAGAUAUAUUUUUGGAAACUGUAAAAGGCAAUUAUCAAGACUUUUAUCAUAUAAAGACUAAUACAGACUUUAGUCCAAAAUUAUUUUACCUUAACACUAUCACGGGUAGUUUUUUAGCCACUGAAGUGGAAUACCCUCUUAGAAAAAUUGGUGGUUUAGCUCCAUUUCCAUUUCUACAAAAUCAUCUUUAUUCAGCAUCUGAACCGGCCUUAUUUCUUCUUGAUAAUAAUACAGAAAUUUGGAUAUGGGAGGGUAAAACUGGCUCCAACAGUGAUAAUACUUUUAAAGAUCAGUUAAAACUAGCGAAGGAUUUACAAUUGAAAUACUGUGAGGAAAAAAGGAAGAUUACUAAUGAAAACAUUAAAAUCUUUUAUACAAAGGCUGGUCAGGAAACACUUGAAUUUAGAAAUAUUUUUCCAGUGUGGGAAAAAUAGAUAAAUAACAUGUACUAUUACUAUGUUUUUAUGGAGUAUUGAAAUCAAUGGAAGUCAAUUUGAAUCCAAUAUCAAUCCUAUGCACGGAGGAAUAAGAGAAUUUGGUUGGUGUCCAAAUUCUCUUUUGAUUAGGUGGUGAGCAACCCUCUUAUUCCUCCGUGAUCCUACUAUGGUAUAUUUUAUCUACCCUCCAUCGAUCCUACAUCAGCCAAUGCGUGAACCAUAUAUGUAAAACGGGCCAUAUACAAAAGGCCUAGCCCAUAUGUAAAUGGACACUCGAUUCGUAUUGAAACAUAAAAAAAAUUAACCCCCCUGAGAUUUGCCUUUUCAUCAGUCAUUUUUCUUUAAUGCUAUCAGCUGAUUGUUGUUUAUUGUUAUUCUGUAACUUAAUCCUAGGUUUGGGGUUUAAAUCAACUUUAUAAAAGUGGCCCUUACAUUACAUAUUUUUAUUUUGUUCUGGAUUUAAAAUAAACUUAAAUUAAUUU